UAACAAAUACGAGCAAUUAUCAUUUGUGUUACCAUUAAUAUGAAACGAACAGUUGUAGCAACUUUAUUUGGUUUAUUAUUCUCUGCGAAUGCUUUAUCUGAAAGGAUCAUAGUCUCUCAUCAGCUCGGUAAAACAACAUUUUAACUUUUCAACCACGCUCAGUGUCGUAAUCAAUUUUGUUGGUGGUUUGUAUUUCUUAUCGCUGCUUGUUAGACAAA
RNAcentral lists this unclassified non-coding RNA (218 nucleotides) under Moritella viscosa. RNAcentral describes it as "putative sRNA". Lineage: Bacteria; Pseudomonadati; Pseudomonadota; Gammaproteobacteria; Alteromonadales; Moritellaceae. The record is from RNAcentral.